UACGGAGGGUGCAAGCGUUACUCGGAAUCACUGGGCGUAAAGGGCGUGUAGGCGGGGACGCAAGUCAGAUGUGAAAACCACGGGCUCAACCUGUGGCCUGCAUUUGAAACUGUGUUUCUUGAGUACUGGAGAGGCAGACGGAAUUCCUAGUGUAGCGGUGAAAUGCUUAGAUAUCACGAAGAACUCCGAUUGCGAAGGCAGCUCACUGGACUGCAACUGACACUGAGGCUCGAAAGUGUGGGUAUCAAACAGG
This 253-nucleotide ribosomal RNA is filed under the name uncultured bacterium. RNAcentral describes it as "partial 16S ribosomal RNA". It matches the Rfam family "Bacterial small subunit ribosomal RNA", at positions 524 to 776 of the family's 1533-position model. The record is from RNAcentral.